This 536-nucleotide long non-coding RNA is filed under the name Setaria viridis. RNAcentral describes it as "long non-coding RNA (SVIR_LNC005758)". The record is from RNAcentral. Lineage: Eukaryota; Viridiplantae; Streptophyta; Magnoliopsida; Poales; Poaceae.
AAUGGUUUACUCAUGCUCGAAGUUCGAAUUAGAGAUCAACAUUAUUUCCAUGGUGAUGCCAUUAUAAAUGUGCUGUUAGAGGAACUCUAUUACCUCUACAAUCAAGACGCACUUGAUAAGUCACUCAUCAGGUCCUGGGUUCUGAAAGUCUUUAAUUUGCUCUAACUUCAAAAUCCCCGCUCUAGUUAUUGUGCGAUGUCUUAACUCCUAUUCGAUUUUAUAUCAUGCAGGAUGGAGAUUUAAACUUGCUGGAGGAAAGAAUACGCAUCGGCUUCAUGGACCCGGAUAUUAUAAAUAAGUCAACUAUAAGAGAUAGAUCAAAUCGGACCUUGAAAAAUAUAUAUAAGUUCCUAGAAAACCAACAUUACAAGAAGUACAUACUUCUACUGUACAACUUCAAGUGAGCGUAUUUCCCAUCUCUUUUAUUUUUCAAAAUAGCAGUUAAACAUAAGACUAACUAGCUUUGGUUAUGCAUAUAUGUAUAGCUUCCACUGGAUACUCCUUGUUAUUGCAGUUGAUCCAAGCGCGGUCUAUAU